AGUGGCGGACGGGUGAGUAACGCGUGAGAAUCUGCCUUGGGGUCGGGGACAACCACUGGAAACGGUGGCUAAUACCGGAUACGCCUUCGGGUAAAAGAUUUAUUGCCCUAAGAGGAGCUCGCGUCUGAUUAGCUAGUUGGUGAGGUAAGAGCUCACCAAGGCAGCGAUCAGUAGCUGGUCUGAGAGGACGAUCAGCCACACUGGGACUGAGACACGGCCCAGACUCCUACGGGAGGCAGCAGUGGGGAAUUUUCCGCAAUGGGCGAAAGCCUGACGGAGCAAGACCGCGUGAGGGAGGAAGGCUCUUGGGUUGUAAACCUCUUUUCUCAUGGAAGAAGCUCUGACGGUACCUGAGGAAUCAGCCUCGGCUAACUCCGUGCCAGCAGCCGCGGUAAUACGGAGGAGGCAAGCGUUAUCCGGAAUUAUUGGGCGUAAAGCGUCCGCAGGUGGCGAUUCAAGUCUGCUGUCAAAGCACGGGGCUUAACUCCGUAAAGGCAGUGGAAACUGAAUAGCUAGAGUGCCGUAGGGGUAGAGGGAAUUCCCGGUGUAGCGGUGAAAUGCGUAGAGAUCGGGAAGAACAUCGGUGGCGAAAGCGCUCUACUGGACGGCAACUGACACUCAGGGACGAAAGCUAGGGGAGCGAAUGGGAUUAGAUACCCC
This 660-nucleotide ribosomal RNA is filed under the name uncultured bacterium. Its description in RNAcentral is "bacterial SSU rRNA". It matches the Rfam family "Bacterial small subunit ribosomal RNA", at positions 94 to 788 of the family's 1533-position model. The record is from RNAcentral.